Long non-coding RNA from Cygnus olor (mute swan), 2388 nucleotides. RefSeq lists it as uncharacterized. NCBI's taxonomy places the organism in Eukaryota, Metazoa, Chordata, Aves, Anseriformes, Anatidae. The record is from RefSeq and is a predicted model, not a curated record. The transcript has 3 exons.
CUCAGCACUCGGAGGGGCUUAGCGUUGGCCUGCACGUGCAAAAUGUUGCCCCAGGGGCCUGCUGACAUUGCACACUGCUGGCACGCUCACCACCUGGCACCAGGGCUUGGACAGGACCAUGGUGUUCAGGCCACACUUGGCACCAGCUGCCAACAAGCUCCCAUGGGGAGACCACAGAUGAAAAAGCGGAGCAUCGAGAUGGGAUCUGCAGAGAGCAGUCACAGCAAGGACACCAUUGGGUUUGCUACCAUGCAAGCGGAGACAUGCAACCUUCCCUCAAUCUCAGGACAACUGGUCGGGGAAUGCUGCUCUCAAACCUGCCUGGGACAGAGAACAAAAUCACCAGAGGUGGCUAAUUAACAACCAUGGCCCUUUUACACAAGCAUCCAUAGGACCAUAUUGCUUCUCUGGUGUUCUAUGCAUGCUACAUAGUGUGCAACAGGGAUGUGGUGCUCUAAUGUGUGUGCAACAGGGACGUGGUGUUCUAAACUCAUCAUGGGAGCACUUAGCAACCAUUUUACAUUGGCAUAGGUUUCCCAGGGAAGGAUCACCCACCAGACUGCCUGGUAUUCUCCCCUAAUUGAGGCAGGGAUGGGGGAUAGGGGCACUGGGCCCAUAUUAGCUGUCUCUCGUUAACUUUCUUGACUCAUCCCGACUCGCCACACAUGGGAUGGCUGCUGCUGCACUUGAUGCCUCUCAGAUGGAACAGGAAGAAAUGAUGGAAAGCACCUUGAUCACAGGCUCUUUGUCGUGGUUUUGACUGGGACAGGAGAGCUCAGCUGAAGAUGUACAGCCAGCUUGUGACAGUCACAACGUGCACCACAGCGGUGGCAGGCAAACCAAGUUGAGAUGCACUGAUUACAGAGCAGCAGUCAGAUAUGGAUACUUUUUUCAUCUUUGAGAACAUGGCUGGGAUUAAAUAUGGCGACAUAAAACCAGCAAGCCUAUCCUGAUAGCAAAGUGGCUGCCCCUGCCUUGCAAGGUGCAAAGGAGGCAAAUGUGAGAUUUUUCGUGGUCGUGUGCCUAAUAGGAUGGCAAUUAAUAUUGGAGAUGUGGUCUGUGCUGGCCACACAUGCCCUGGUGUUUUUGGAUAAGUCACACAGGACCUGAACUGCAUAGGUAUUUGGGUGCUUGGGGUCAUAUCCACCCUGCCGACUUCAGGCAUCUAAUUUGAGCAUUAUCUUCCAGAAAUUUUACAAGCCUCGCCUCAGGGAGGGUCAGAAAAGGCAUCUGGCCUAGAGUAACCAUGUCAGUCACAGGAGAUGCUGUUGUCUUGGAGAAUCUGCAGAAAAUGAGGCAACAGAAUUGGGUUCUGCUGAGAGCGUGGUGAGAGCACCCAGAGCUGUGCUCAAAGUUGCAUUGCUACCAGUGAAAGGCAAAGUUGACCUUCUGUGCUUUUCGUACCAAGCCAGAUCAAAGCUGAGUUGGAAAAGCUUUUCUCAAGCUAUUUAACUUUGCACAAUGGACGGAUCUUUGAAGGCAACAGACAACUUCAAAUGUUUUGAUUCUUGUGUGUCCAGUACUUCAGAAGGACAUGGGUUUGGAGUGCAAUGACAGACCCCCUCUGAUGGCCAGGCAUUCUGGCUCCCUGCCUCUUGACUCUGAACCCAGCGUUAACCAAACUCUUCAGUCAUUUUGAUGCUGUGGAUAGUCUUUUGGGUAGAGUCAGAUUGUUCAGAUUCUUGGGCCCUUCUUGACUUAGGAAACAUCUUGGAUUCUGAAGCACAGUAAUAACACACAUUACUCCUCUCUGUGCUCAACUUUUCCCCUUGUUUUCACAAGGCAUAAAGCUCUAGCUGACUCCAGGGACAAGGUGUCCUGCACAUGCCAUUCCAGUGGAGGUCCUCGGCUUUGAAUUUCAAUACUCUCACCCUCUGGUGGGACUACAAAGGGGAAGGUGUUCCCAUCUCUCCUCCAGAAAUCAGCUCUAAGGUGUGAUAACACCCACUCACCUUCAGUUUGGUGUCCAGCCAUGCAUGGCCUCCUAUGAACACCAACUUCUUCCUACGUAUUUUUCUGUGUUUCUCAUGCUUCCCUCACAAGCCUGACUUCUUCGUAGUGCCUGACCCUGUGGGGACCAGUUUGUCCCCACAAUCACCCAACCUCACAUUACACCUGCAAAUACCAGCCUUCUACUCUUUCAGCUGAAAGCAUUUGGAAACAAAUGAGUGCUGUCAUGUAUAGAGCUCUGUAUGUGUUAUGACUGUUAAUGUCUACAGCGAUGUUAGAUUUCAAAUGACUGCUAUUUAGAGACCCAGGCAGCCAAUUUAUGUUCACUUCAUUACAGAUUAUUACAGAGGGAGCGCAUGCACGCGCACACACACGCUUCUCUAAUGAAAACUACUUUUGUUCUUUCUUGUUUUGUUCUCUUACACAAUAAAAAAUCCU